GACGAACGCUGGCGGCGUGCCUAAUACAUGCAAGUCGAACGCACUCUCGUUUAGAUUGAAGGAGCUUGCUCCUGAUUGAUAAACAUUUGAGUGAGUGGCGGACGGGUGAGUAACACGUGGGUAACCUGCCCUAAAGUGGGGGAUAACAUUUGGAAACAGAUGCUAAUACCGCAUAAAACCUAACACCGCAUGGUGUAGGGUUGAAAGAUGGUUUCGGCUAUCACUUUAGGAUGGACCCGCGGUGCAUUAGUUAGUUGGUGAGGUAAAGGCUCACCAAGACCGUGAUGCAUAGCCGACCUGAGAGGGUAAUCGGCCACACUGGGACUGAGACACGGCCCAGACUCCUACGGGAGGCAGCAGUAGGGAAUCUUCCCACAAUGGACGAAAGUCUGAUGGAGCAACGCCGCGUGAGUGAAGAAGUUUCGGAUCGUAAAACUCUAGUUGUUGGAGAAGAAUGUAUCUGAUAGUAACUGAUCAGGUAGUGACGGUAUCCAACCAG
RNAcentral lists this ribosomal RNA (499 nucleotides) under uncultured bacterium. RNAcentral describes it as "bacterial SSU rRNA". It matches the Rfam family "Bacterial small subunit ribosomal RNA", at positions 28 to 486 of the family's 1533-position model. The record is from RNAcentral.